This 288-nucleotide ribosomal RNA is filed under the name uncultured Paracoccaceae bacterium. RNAcentral's name for it is "uncultured Rhodobacteraceae bacterium partial 16S ribosomal RNA". The record is from RNAcentral. Lineage: Bacteria; Pseudomonadati; Pseudomonadota; Alphaproteobacteria; Rhodobacterales; Paracoccaceae.
CUACAAGGGUAUCUAAUCCUGUUUGCUCCCCACGCUUUCGCACCUCAGCGUCAGUAUCGAGCCAGUGAGCCGCCUUCGCCACUGGUGUUCCUCCGAAUAUCUACGAAUUUCACCUCUACACUCGGAAUUCCACUCACCUCUCUCGAACUCCAGACCGGCAGUUUAAGGGCAGUUCCGGGGUUGAGCCCCGGGAUUUCACCCCUAACUUGCUGGUCCGCCUACGUGCGCUUUACGCCCAGUAAUUCCGAACAACGCUAGCCCCCUCCGUAUUACCGCGGCUGCUGGCAC